Ornithodoros turicata is the source of this 1708-nucleotide long non-coding RNA. RefSeq lists it as uncharacterized. The record is from RefSeq and is a predicted model, not a curated record. Lineage: Eukaryota; Metazoa; Arthropoda; Arachnida; Ixodida; Argasidae. The transcript is spliced from 2 exons.
AGCAUACAUGUCUGUGCCGUCUUUUGACGAUGGCAGGAUAAUUAUUGACCUGAGGAAUAAUAUGGAUUUAUGUGGUUGUGAAAAUAGACUUUGUGUUUGUGAGUGUGAAAAUGUUAGUGUGUGUGUGUGUGUGCCUGUGUGUGUGCGCGCGCGCACGCGCUGGGACCCCACUUGACAAGUUGACCUUGUCUAGAGGAGCAUUAGUGGAAAAAGACUGUGUAGCCCUGAGACAAUAGGAUGAUGUCUGGACCAAUGAGACUGGCCUGCAGGGGACGCAAGGAUUCACUUCUCUCUUGGACGCUGGCGGAUGUAGACACGGUAAUUAUGAUCCUGGCAAUUGCGUUGAUCGUCAGUAGAAGAGCGUAGCUUAGGUGGGGUUCUGUCUGCCUCUGAUGGGGUGCGGAUGUGUGGUUCGUCACUGGUGAAUGGUGUUCGACGAUGCAGGUGGAUUUUGUGACGAGCGGAUUUACAAUGAGGGAAUGUAGUGUACGUGUCCGAUGAUAGUGAGCGUCUUUUCACUCUGUUCAAGUGUUCGUUUUCCUCUGUUGCCCAACAGUCGUGCGAAUUUGUCCUGACGUGUCCUGACAUGCCCCGAUAUGCAUGGUUUCCUUUGUUAACGCUUUGUAUUUUGUCUUUUUUGACAAGGAACAUUGUCGUCUUGACGAUAGUGCUGCCCUGAGUUCUGCGCGCGUUGAUUUGUUGAGUGCCUAGUCCUCUUAUUAGCCGUUGAUGGGGUUACAUGUUGGGAUAUUUUGUUCUUUUGCAAGUCUCAUUUAGUAAGACUUUGGAAUUCCUACGAUCAGCUUUCAUGCAUGGUGCUCUUCUGCAAUAGUUUCCUAUGCAAUCGUUAUAGAAGAAUAAAGGAAAUAACCUUGGGAUAGUGAUUCAAUAAAUAAUAGGUCCCCUGUCUAGAGCGCACGCGUCCUUGAGCCACGCAGGUGCAUGAGGACGUCAUACCGUGGCUUCACUGCAGAUUGACCUUGUCUAGAGGAGCAUUAGUGGAAAAAAACAGUGUAGCCCUGAGACAAUAGGAUGAUGUCUGGACCAAUGAGAACGGCCAGCAGGGGACGCAGGAAUGCUCUUCUCUCUUAGCCUCUCGCAGGUGGCGGUAGGAGCGCGCAGAGGGCGCUACGAGCGCGCGCAUGCGUAGCACUGCGUAGCGCUGCGUCGUCACUUGAUCCCUGGCUGUCGACGAGAGCGGACGCUCCGUCGCAGCGGGGAAAAAGGUGAGUGAUUUACCGAUGUUUGCGCGUUGUUUUACCGUGCUCGUGUUAAGCCUUUUCUCGCAUGUUUAGACUUGUUUAGCGGUGUCCAAGCCUGUUGACGCACGUUUACCAUCGUGUGGUUCCCGCCUUGUGUUAGCCGCGAAGUGUUGUGACGCUGUGGUUAGGCCUUGUCGAUUGCCUUAAGCCUUUCCCCCCGAUGUGUAGUGUUUUCUCCGUGCUGUUUAGCAGUAGCGGUUAGGCCUUUUCCCCGCGCUCUGGCAUGGUUAGACUUGUCGAGCAGUGUUGCCAUUUUUACGUGUCGCUAGUACUUUCUUGUUCUCUGUGUUUCUCGUAUAGAGCUACGAUGCUGGCGCCAUCUGGUGUGAUGCCUUGGAACUAGCGUGCCACCUGCCUCUGCAACCGUCGUGCUCCAGUCGCCCGCACCGGCGUGAUUUCUUCAAGAUGGCGUCGUUGAUUUUCAAAUAAAUCAUUUCCCACUGUCU